This 150-nucleotide ribosomal RNA is filed under the name Gammaproteobacteria bacterium. RNAcentral describes it as "partial 16S ribosomal RNA". It matches the Rfam family "Bacterial small subunit ribosomal RNA", at positions 1 to 151 of the family's 1533-position model. Lineage: Bacteria; Pseudomonadati; Pseudomonadota; Gammaproteobacteria. The record is from RNAcentral.
UAAUUGAAGAGUUUGAUCAUGGCUCAGAUUGAACGCUGGCGGUAGGCUUAACACAUGCAAGUCGUGCGAGAAAGUAUCUUCGGAUAUGAGUAGAGCGGCGGACGGGUGAGUAACGCGUAGGAAUCUACCUAGUAGAAGGGGAUAGCCCGG